RNAcentral lists this ribosomal RNA (867 nucleotides) under uncultured archaeon. Its description in RNAcentral is "bacterial SSU rRNA". It matches the Rfam family "Archaeal small subunit ribosomal RNA", at positions 1 to 880 of the family's 1478-position model. The record is from RNAcentral.
UUCCGGUUGAUCCCGCCGGACCCGACUGCUAUCAGAGUGAGAUUAAGCCAUGCGAGUCAACGUAUGAAUAAUACGUGGCGAACGGCUCAGUAACACGUAGUCAACAUGCCCAGAGGACGUGGAUAACCUCGGGAAACUGAGGAUAAACCGCGAUAGGUCAUAAUUACUGGAAUGUGUUACGGCCCAAAUCUAUAUGGCCUCUGGAUUGGACUGCGGCCGAUCAGGCUGUUGGUGAGGUAAUGGCCCACCAAACCUUUUACCGGUACGGGCUCUGAGAGGAGGAGCCCGGAGAUGGGCACUGAGACAAGGGCCCAGGCCCUAUGGGGCGCAGCAGGCGCGAAACCUCUGCAAUAGGCGAAAGCCUGACAGGGUUACUCUGAGUGAUUCCCGCUAAGGGAAUCUUUUGGCAUCUCUAAAAAUGGUGCAGAAUAAGGGGUGGGCAAGUCUGGUGUCAGCCGCCGCGGUAAUACCAGCACCCCGAGUGGUCGGGACGAUUAUUGGGCCUAAAGCAUCCGUAGCCGGUCUUGCAAGUCUUCCGUUAAAUCCAGCUGCUUAACAGAUGGGCUGCGGAGGAUACUACAAGCUAGGAGGCGGGAGAGGCAAGCGGUACUCAGUGGGUAGGGGUAAAAUCCUCUGAUCCAUUGAGACCACCAGUGGCGAAGNCGGCUUGUCAGAACGCGCUCGACGGUGAGGGAUGAAAGCUGGGGGAGCAAACCGGAUUAGAUACUCGGGUAGUUNCAGCUGUAAACGAUGCAGACUCGUGAUGGNNNGCUUUAUGCCGGCUCAAUGGCNCNGGAAGCCNNUAGUCUGCCGCCUGGGGAGUACGUCGCCAAGACUGAAACUUAANGGAAUUGGCGGGGGAGCACC